GCUGAGAGUGCUGUUAUACUCCCACCACUAUCUCUACUCACUACUUCUCAGGUCAUAAACUUCUCUCUCUGUUCAUCCAAGAGUUGUAUUUUGCCAGUAGGUUCCCAUAGGCCUGAUUCAUCAUUGUGUGAUUCCAGUUUUAUACUUCAUGUCAAAAUGUAAUGCUCAGAUGAAUUUGCAAACCCUCAGAAAAUGGGGCCUUGCCCAUUACUAUCCUCAGAUAAGCAUAGGGCUCUAAAAAUAUAAAACUUCUGAGUUUCAACUUUCUACACCCCACUUGUGUCAGCAUCGUUUCCAGACUAAAACACUUGUGAUGUGAGGCCAUUAGGACUGAGAUUUAAAUGACUCACUAGAACCUGAAGCAUUAAAACAAAGCCUUAAAACAAAGGAGGCUUGCCAGUUUGGGUCCAGGACCAAGUUUCAAAGUAUUUCGAUUUCUUUCCAAACCAUGCAAGGGAAUCAUAUACUUAUGACUCUGGUUUUGUCUUCCAUCCAUUUGAAAGCAGAAAGAAAAGCAAAAACAAGGGAGAUGUUUAUAUUUGUUGGCCAGAGAAUGAACCUAAGUUUUGGCUGAAAUUGCUUUUUGUUGAGAGAAGACACUGCAGGACGGAGCCAUCACAGCUGAAAUGAAAAAUGUUUGCAGUUGUUAUUUUAAGCUAAAGCAGAGAUUUGGGGAGAUUUGCACAUUAAGGAGAGCAGCAGAAAAGAGACAGAACAGAUGAGAUCCUUCUUUAAGAGUCUCAGAUCUGACACAUUAGCCUCUCGUCAGCUGAAAGCACUUUAGAAGUUUCUCUAGCAUGUUGUUUCAGGAAUCAGGUGGCUCAGGGAACUGGGAAUAAUAUAUAGAUGCUUUCAACUCUAAAUCACAGAUUCAAAUCUAAUACGUCAGGAGUGGCCAAAAGACAUUACAAAAAUAGUUUGCGCUGCUUCUGUUGGCUUCUUUUGUCUGAAGAUCAUGACAUCCUUUGUAUAUAUUUUUGACAUAAGUCGCACAAGACACGUGUGUGUGUGGCAGGUAAAUAUUUUUAUCCCUUUUCAUCAGUGAAGAAACUGCUGUGUAGUAGGUCAGAUUUUAAAGGAUUUUCACUUUCAUUGAAAUCAGUGAGAGUUAGGUACCUUAAUACCUUUAAAAAUAUGACCUAAUGUGCCUAAGUGCUUAGACAGAUAAUCAAACAUACCAAAUUGCAAAGGAAAGGGGCUUUAUCCCUCAUCAACUGCCCUGCAGUAUCUGUUUCAUGUGUUUGCUCCUAUCGUGCAGAGUAUAUAAGCUAAACCAUAGAAACUGAGUCCUAUUUCAUUCAGGAAGAAGCUGCCCUGAUUAGCUUACACUUACUGUGCAGAAGGCGCAGCCACAGAAACCAGUCCUGCAGAAGAGCCAGUAUGGGGAAGAAAUAAAUCCCUGUUGAUUAGAAGAGAUGCAGUUUACAUAUGUAUGUGUGAGCACCUGUGCAUGUAAUCACAUACACAGUAACACCAGUCAGCAGAGGUGAAGUGAGUGUAAUUCAGAAACAGGGAUUCAUGGAUAAGAAGUACCUGUGGAUUAUAACUAUCUGGAUUAUUUUGAGUGCAAAUGUUUUAUACCUUCCAUGGGAGGUUCUGCAACUCAGACUAACUAAUUAUAUGCCUAAAUACAACUCUAAGUGCCUAACAUUAAGCACCCAAGUGUGAAAAUGAUAGCCCAAAUCUGCUCCAAUGCCUUGCCACCAACUGGCAGAUACACACAGGCCACUUUGCAUGAACAAUAAAAGCCUUAUGAGAAGCUGAAAUCCUGUGAGCCUGAGCAUGAGCAGGCCCGGAGAUAAAAUGCUUUCAAUGUGCACAACAGAUGGGGGCUUUAGAGUGAGGAGCUGAUAAUCUGUGGAUUAAAGACUCCCUAAUUACACAAUGACACUUCAAAACCAUGCCAGCCCCUGUUGUUUCAGUGAUGUACCACCUUCCGAGUGGAAGAUCCUAAGGAUCCAGCACUCCUUUAAUGCCCGCUGACAUGCUUCAGUGCUGCUACAGUGUCUGUGUGGCAUUAAUCUACAGAUCUGGGACUCCCUGCAUCCAUACCAGGGUGGCUGUGUGUCAUGCUUCCAGGAAGAAGUCCAUGUCUAUGUGAAGACCAAGUUGCACCUCAAUGGAAGAACUAAAAUUGAAAUCUUGUCUUCUCUACCACGAGACCUCAAACCUGUUGCCAGCUUGUGCCAACUAAUGUCUGGAUCAUGAAAUUGGACUCAGUGUCAAGUAAUGGAUUCAUAAAGCUAAUAAUUUAAAUAUUUUCACUGAACUUUUAAUGGCAUCAAAACACUAUUCAGUUUAGAACUGCUAGGAAAUAUCUACAGUGAGUCUGUUAACUGACGCCUAUAAUAUAUGUUUCCCUGUAUCCUAAUAUGCAUUUUAAAUACCAAUUAAUCAAUCUACCAGCUUAUCUAUUUAACUAUGUUCUCAUCACCAGUAAUAAUAACAGUGAUUAUAAUUUUGAAGUGGAAAAUAGAAAUUUUUAAAGAAACCUUCAAAAAUUGGGUAUGAACUGUUUUUCUGCAUUUUUCCAACUAUCUCUACCAGUAAUACUUUACUUUGAUGAUCAUCUCUCUCUUUGAAUCAGCUACUGAACGCAGGUAACUGGGGGGAGCUUUACAGUUUCCUAAAGUCCUGAAUGCCGAUACUUUUCUGUAAGUCACCCAUCUGAGACCUUCAGUGACGUGCACAGCAUCUUCCUGCCCAUUAUGUUCCUAGCUGGAAAUGAGGAUCUAGCAUGUGUUUUUGAAAAUGGAGACUGACACUGCUCAAUUGAACAUUAGGCUUAAACACGUGGACAAAGGGUCAUGUGAAACCUACUCCUGGAAGUGAGGGCAUGAUGUCUAGGAUGUCUUUAGCCCCAUCUAGGACUGGAAGUGAAGUCUCUGAGUUGCUUCUAUCAUGGCUGAACACAAUGUCGCAUAAGGGUUAUGGGUCCUACCUCCUCUCUUUCAUAGUGUCCUCUUUCUUUCCCACUUUUUCAUGUGGCAGUCAAUCUUUCCAUUUGAGAGAGACGCAAGCUUGAACAUAAGCUGCCUACCAAGGCCAGGAAGCACAUUUCUUCUCAGUGGCAUGGGGCUCUCCCAGCCCAGUCCUGAUGUACCGCAAAUGGCCCAUUGCCAAUCCUUAGGGCUUUUAUUGUGUUUAGAUAAAUGUCCAAACAAUGGAAAACUACUGCUGUCCAAAUUGGCUGGCAAAGUGGCAUAGAGAAACCUUUUAAUAUGCAGACAGAAUGAUAUUUCCUUUUACACAAGCUCUUUGUGCCCAAGACAGACACAGACAGACACUGAUGACUCAGUCCUUCACUCAACAGACCCUGUUUAAUUGCAGUAGCCUGGGUAAGACCUGAGUCAUGUAGGAAUACUGCACGCUUCCUACAUGUUUCUUUGUCUUCAAAACUUGCUGUAGCAGAACUAGCCUCAGAAAUGAAUGGUUGCUUGUAUGAGGCUCACCUGGACAUCCCUCAGUGGCUAGAUCUAUCUGGGUAGAAGAUAAAGAAUUUGACUCUGACUCCACAUCUGAAUUUCAGAUUUGUUCUUAUUCUUUGCAAAAACACACUUUUGGAUCUGAUCAGCUCCUGCUUUCAAAAAUACAAAAUUAGUAUCUAAAACCAAAGCUGGGGCUCAGACCAAUCUUCAGAAUCUGAUUUAGACUUGGGCACAUACACGUGCUCUGGGAGUGGAGGGGGAGGGAGAGGUGCACUUUAAUUAGAGUGGCUCCAAGAGUCGCUCUGAUUAAAGCGCCUGGAGUGUCUUGUGUAUCAGCAUCCCCAUGCUUAAAAAUGGUGGUAGGAACACUUUAACUAAAGCUCAUCGAAUGAGCUUUUAAGUGCAGGGACACUGAUACACAAGACGCUGGAGUCUGCUGGAGCGCAGUAACUACCAGGCUCCAGUAGACUUGAUCAAUCGAGUCUGCUCUGAUGCUCCAUAAUUACAGCGCAUCAGAGCAACCUCGCUGCUUGUGUAUAGGCACCCUAUGUUUCUGGUUUGAUAUCACCACCAGUACUUCAAUAGAAGUACUCUUGCUUGACACUGGUGAAAACAUCAACAUCAGGAGCUAAGUCAAAAUACUGCCCACUUUCCUUACUCUGAAAUACAGUCUGAUGAAGUCUGCCCCAUAAUUUCUGGUUUUACAAUACCAAUCAAGGAUGCAAUGAAUUAGAUUGAUCCUGUAUGUUGAUAGCUGUCAGAACAGAUGCACAGCCCAGCCCCUGGAUUGAGUGGUAGCGUGGCUGUUCCUUCCCACUCGAAAUGUUGGCAUGGAAGCUGCCUUUUCCAGGAAGAAACUGCUAAGUUCUUCUGUGUGGGCCAUACUACUAUGCUAAUAUGAUGGCAGACAGCUUGCUGACAGCCUUUGGGGAGGAAUGCGUCUUGCUGUAAGUCUUCAGAAUCAAUGGCAAGGCUCCAGAGCUGGCGCUUUUUAUCAGUCUAGUGCACGGCUGGUAUUUUAAGUGAACAAGUCUGGCAAGGCGGAACAGUCCCUUAUCAUCAGGGCAGUUUCUCUCCCUCAUGUUGAUGUAUGAGGCAGUAUUUCUGGGCAGUCAGAGGUCCUGAUCCCUCUCUUCUGUUUGCAUAUUUAGAUGCUUUUAAAUAGAUUUAGUGCUUUGGAAAAGGCCCACAUCUGUAGCCCCAGGGGCUGAGAUUCUUUUUGUUUCAAAAGAUGCAUGUAUUAUGAACAAGAGCAGUGCAAGUUCUGCUGUUCCUCUUUUAGUCUGCUCCCAUUAUACCACCAAACAAUUUCUACUGUGACCUGCGGUGGCAAAUUGGGGGGGUUACAGGCAAUUUAUUUUCCAUGUAUAUUCAGUUCUUGGCCUACUUACCAAAACUGUUGUAAGAUGACAAUGAUCAUGAUGAGCCUUCCUUUAAAUGGAUGCCUGUCUACUUGGAGCUGGAGAGAGGGAGGACACUGUAUACCAUUAAAUUACUUUUGGUCCCAUGGUCCUCUCACUUUAGAGUAAACAGGAAUAACUCAGUGGAGUUAUCUCAGUGUAAAAUUGGUGUAAAAUCAUAAUCUGGCCCCUUAGCUCCUCAUUGCAGUCCAGUGCACAGCAAUGCUCAAGGUCUUUACAUUUGUUACACGGAAAUGGCUUCAACAGACAUUGAUAGAGCAGUGCUGCUGUGCAAAUAAAAUAGUGCAAAGUAUUUCAGCCCUUAACAAGCCGGAAGGCAGAAACGUCCUACCUAAUUUAGAUGGCCCAUCCAGCCAAAUUGAAACUGGAUAGUAAUCCAUCCCACUCAGUGUCCAUUCCUGAAUAAUCAAUAAUAGAUGCUUUGGAAGAGGGUUAAAAUAUCCCUAUGUUGACCCCAAACCCAUGUUGCUCUGAUGGUCUGAGCAGCUUUCUUGCAGCCUAAACCUGUAGAUGGGCAGCUUAUACCCAUUUGUUUUUGGGCCACCGCUAUUCUUCAGCUUAAAUAGCUCUUCCUCUCCCUCUCCACCUGACAUGGAGGUUUUUAUAGCCAGAAAUUAGAUUCCCCCUCUCAGCCUUCCUAUUGGUAAACUAAACAAGUGAUGCUUGUUUCACAGCCCCUAGAUUGCCUUACGUGCACAACGUUUCCCUUUGAUUCGACUGUAACUCUGUUGCCUUUUCAUGUCAAGGGCCCUUUUGGUUUGGUAAAAUAACCAAGGGCAAGUAAGAGUGUGUGUGGCAGGACCUCUUUGCUUAUUCCUUAUUUUAAGAGGGCUUUGUACGUGGGCUUGGGUACCUUUGAACACUUAGGAAGUAUGGAUCUGAAUCCAUAUAUGAACGUGUAGCCUAUAAUGUAUUGUAUUAUCUUAGUCUGGCAGAAAGCUGCCAUUUCACUUUCCAGAUCCAGAUCCCAGUGGAUCACAGAGAAGAAUAAUGAAUGGCUCUUUAAAGUAAACGAGGCAUCCUCAGACUGGGCUAUAAAACAUGCUUCGUUUAGGGUUGCAAUGGACUUCAGCAUGAAAGAUUGUAAAAGACACCACCCAGCUACUACUUUGAACUUCAAAAAUGUGCUUUCCAUUUGUCCUCUAAGACUGUCAUUGGCAGCUCCCUUCUACAAGGUCUCUAUUGUGGUCCACAGUGCCUCUACUGUUUGUGCUUUCCUUCUGCCUAUGGGCUUAUGGGCUUCCCCAGAAAGGCAAAAUAAUAUUUUGUCUCUCUGACAACAACUGCAAUAAAAGCAUUGCUGUGCUGCCGCCCUGAGUAGGAGCAUGAAGGCACUGAUUCUUCUCUGCAGAAUGAAACACUCAGCAAAAGUGUGACAGGCCCAAUGUGUUUUCAUGAGCAUAGGAAGGCCGGGAAGUGUCAGGAGAAUGCCACACCCAAGGAUUUUGUGGGAGGAAAAGCAUUUCUUGCCAUGUAUGAACUGUCCACUGCAUGUUUGAAGUGGAGGACUGUCAGAUCAGCAUUUCCGAGCCUCUGUGUUGGUAGAAGGACUUACUUAUGACACGAGUCAUGCAAGGACUCAACACAUCCACCACCUCCCAUGCAGGCUUCAGCCGAGUAAAACAGCCUUCAGAAGGGAGACCUUUUAUUCUGUACCGUUGUCCAUUUCUAAGAUCAUAAAGCUUCACAAUACACUUGAUAGAUGGGAAACUCAGGCAUGGAAAAAUGAAGUAACGUGCCCCAGAUCAAAGAAAGAAUCAGUGGUGGAGCAAGGAAUAUGAACCCAGGUUUCCAGAUUGACAGCCCAGUGCUUUGCUUUGGGCAGGCACAUUAAAAAAAUAUAUUGUCCCAGUUAACCUGCAGCCUCUUUGCCAAUAUUUGUGUUGGAAUGAAAUAAAAGCUUUUUGUGUCUGUUCCCCCUCUA
Molecule: long non-coding RNA, 6773 nt
Organism: Alligator mississippiensis (American alligator)
Lineage: Eukaryota; Metazoa; Chordata; Crocodylia; Alligatoridae
Exons: 2
Source: RefSeq, a predicted model, not a curated record